CAUAGCCCACUAAUCUAUAAAAAAAAUAAAGGCACAUACACAAGAUAGAAAGUCGAAAGGCUGGGAAUGUAUUGAAUAAAGAAGGUGAAGCAGAGAUUUUUGAGUCAGUAUCCUCUCCAAAGUCAUAGUAUUACUGCAUAGAAUUUUUCUUUUUGUGGGAUCCACGAUACGCAAGGAGGCACAACAAAAUUUUUUAGGAUUUUAUUUUAUGGUAGAA
This 217-nucleotide long non-coding RNA is filed under the name Elaeis guineensis (African oil palm). RNAcentral's name for it is "long non-coding RNA (EGUI_LNC065208)". Lineage: Eukaryota; Viridiplantae; Streptophyta; Magnoliopsida; Arecales; Arecaceae. The record is from RNAcentral.